RNAcentral lists this ribosomal RNA (501 nucleotides) under uncultured bacterium. RNAcentral's name for it is "partial 16S ribosomal RNA". It matches the Rfam family "Bacterial small subunit ribosomal RNA", at positions 899 to 1397 of the family's 1533-position model. The record is from RNAcentral.
ACUCAAAGGAAUUGACGGGGACCCGCACAAGCGGUGGAGCAUGUGGUUUAAUUCGAGGCUACGCGAAGAACCUUACCCAGGUUUGAAAUGUAGUUGACAUCCCAUGAAAGUGGGCUUUCUCGCAAGAGACAAUUACACAGGUGCUGCAUGGCUGUCGUCAGCUCGUGCUGUGAAGUGUUGGGUUAAGUCCCGCAACGAGCGCAACCUUUGUCUUUAGUUGCCAUCAGGUCAAGCUGGGCACUCUAGAGAGACUGCCGGUGAUAAACUGGAGGAAGGAGGAGACGACGUCAAGUCAGUAUGGCCCUUAUACCUGGGGCUACACACGUGCUACAAUGGCCGGUACAAAGGGGUGCGAGACCGCAAGGUGGAGCAAAUCCCAAAAAGCCGGCCCCAGUUCAGAUUAGAGGCUGCAACUCGCCUCUAUGAAGUCGGAAUCGCUAGUAACGGUAGAUCAGCAUCGCUACCGUGAAUACGUUCCCGGGUCUUGUACACACCGCCCGU